Long non-coding RNA from Manis javanica (Malayan pangolin), 1134 nucleotides. RefSeq lists it as uncharacterized. NCBI's taxonomy places the organism in Eukaryota, Metazoa, Chordata, Mammalia, Pholidota, Manidae. The record is from RefSeq and is a predicted model, not a curated record.
CCUCCUGUCUGCCUGAGUGACACUGGGAUUUCCUGCAAGGCCCAGAAAGGGCCUCACCGCCUCAAGGAAGUCUUCCCUGACCUGUGCUGCCUCCAUUAUUACACAUGACACCAGACUCUUAUGUACUUGAGGAGUCUGCUCUUCCAGGAAGCUGUCGGCAAAGCUGAGGUGGACAGGGAACUCCUCUGAGCUCUGGAGGCCACCUGUGCCACUUCCAUUAUAGCGCCCAGACUGGGCUCGGCGCCCGGAGGCGGAGGGAACGGUCGGCUGGAGAUAUGGCUGGAGAGCUAGCUGCCAUCUUGGACCACAAGGACAAUGACCAUUCUAAGGAUGGUGGAGAAGAAAGCUUGAUGGCCUAUCUCCAGACCUCUUUUAUGAAAGAGAAUAAAUUUCCGUCUUGUUUAGGCCAUUGUUAUUUGGGAUGUACUUGGACUCCUAAUAAUACAGAUGCUUGAGGCACCACUUCAGGUUCAGCAGGGCUUCACGUUAGACCAUUCAUUGACCAAUUUUUCAACAACUAUUUAUUGAGCGUAUAUCACGUGUCAUGCACCUUUCUAGAUGCAGGGGAUACAGCUCUGAUCAAAUUAAAAUCCCUACUCCCAUGGAGUUCACGUUCCAGUGGAAGAGACAGAAAUAGUAAACAAAAGGACAAGUAUUUGGUAUAUGAGGUGGCCAUAAGUUCUAAAAAGAAAAAUAAAUCUGGGCAAAGAAAUGAGAAGGUAUUUUUUUUGAAUUGCGGAAUCUACUCAAACCCAGUGUUUAAUUUUAAUGCACCACUAUAUUUAUCCAAGCCAGAAUGUAGUGCCUCUGUCAUCUUUCUAUAUAACUUAGCUUAAAAUGCUCUUUAAGAUUCUCAAAUUAAAAGCAAGAUUUAGUGUCCUAAAGUACAUGAAGUUCUCCCUGAUUUUCUCUUUCUUUUUUAAAAUUGUUUCCUUUAUAUACAGAAACUAAGGUGAAAAGAAAUUAUGCACACUGUUUCAUGAAACAAUCUACCUUAUAAUGUAUGCCUUUCUAAUUAUACUGUGUCUGCUUAUUACUUGGGGGAAAAGAAUAUUAUUACACAAGGGUGAGACCAUUCAGUGUUCUCGCUCUCUCUGUCCCCACCACAGUGAGCAAGGAUGCCAUGGGUUGCAG